UUGCGCCCUGAAUCAAGGCCAACAACUUGUGGUAGCUGUUGGUUUCAAACAGCGGCCAAAAUUGAAUUCUUCAGAUGGUCUGUUGAUUUUCCCAGACAAAAUGGGAAAAAUCAGUUCAGUUAGAAGACACAUUU
This is a small nucleolar RNA of Hemibagrus wyckioides, 134 nucleotides long. Lineage: Eukaryota; Metazoa; Chordata; Actinopteri; Siluriformes; Bagridae. The record is from RefSeq and is a predicted model, not a curated record.